GUGGUAAUGCCGGAUGCUCCGGUUGGAUGCAUGUCCUUCCGGGAAAGGUUCCAUCGGUAUGGGAUGGGGUCGCGUCCUAUCAGCUUGAUGGCGGGGUAACGGCCCACCAUGGCUUCGACGGGUAGCCGGCCUGAGAGGGCGACCGGCCACAUUGGGACUGAGAUACGGCCCAGACUCCUACGGGAGGCAGCAGUGGGGAAUAUUGCACAAUGGGCGCAAGCCUGAUGCAGCGACGCCGCGUGCGGGAUGGAGGCCUUCGGGUUGUAAACCGCUUUUGAUCGGGAGCAAGCCCUUCGGGGUGAGUGUACCUUUCGAAUAAGCACCGGCUAACUACGUGCCAGCAGCCGCGGUAAUACGUAGGGUGCAAGCGUUAUCCGGAAUUAUUGGGCGUAAAGGGCUCGUAGGCGGUUCGUCGCGUCCGGUGUGAAAGCCCAUCGCUUAACGGUGGGUCUGCGCCGGGUACGGGCGGGCUGGAGUGCGGUAGGGGAGACUGGAAUUCCCGGUGUAACGGUGGAAUGUGUAGAUAUCGGAAA
Molecule: ribosomal RNA, 533 nt
Filed under: Bifidobacterium dentium
Lineage: Bacteria; Bacillati; Actinomycetota; Actinomycetes; Bifidobacteriales; Bifidobacteriaceae
Description: bacterial SSU rRNA
Rfam family: Bacterial small subunit ribosomal RNA
Source: RNAcentral